UACAUUUUGGUGUGUGAUGCACGGGGGUUUUUGAUACUUCAGGGGAUGGUUUGAUUCUGUUUAAUGUAA
RNAcentral lists this transfer RNA (69 nucleotides) under Archotermopsis wroughtoni. RNAcentral's name for it is "tRNA-Gln". The record is from RNAcentral. Lineage: Eukaryota; Metazoa; Arthropoda; Insecta; Blattodea; Termopsidae.